RNA transcript from Daphnia carinata, 1833 nucleotides. It is a transcript of the gene named TBC1 domain family member 10A-like, with no coding region annotated. The transcript is spliced from 9 exons. The record is from RefSeq and is a predicted model, not a curated record. Lineage: Eukaryota; Metazoa; Arthropoda; Branchiopoda; Diplostraca; Daphniidae.
GGGAACAGCCCACCUCCUUCCUUUCGUCAAAAUAGCCUUGAUUAUUUGUUUCCCUUGUUUUCCUCUUGAUCACAGUAUCUGUUUAAAGUCACGCAACCGUCGGGAGAAUGUGUCAUUACCAUGAGUGCCUUAUUUCUUGAUAAAAGACUUGUGAAAUAUUUGUAAUCAUAAAUGGCUACACGUCACGAGUCCUUAUCACUGCAAGUGAUAACAUCACCGUUCCUUCGCAAUGUCGAAGCGGUCAAUGAUGGCAGUGCAUCAGGUGUGGAAAGACGUAUGUUUCGAAAAAGUCUUGAAAGGCUUGAACGGAUCAACAUGAUUGAUUUAGAACCCUUUAGUUCUGAAUCAUAUCAGACCUCUGAUCAGGGUCCUAAUGGAGAUGGAAAGCAGUCAAAGCGUCAAAACAGGUUAAGUAGAGAGAUCCUUGGAGUUGAUGAUGCAGUGUUGUCCGCCCCUGAUAUUGCCCAGUUACAAUCUCAGGAAAAUCGCCUUCUCAAGAACCAAUUGUCUAUGAACGGUUCGUUAAAUCAAACAGAUGUGGAUGAUGAUGCCAGUAGUGUGGUUUUCGGUGGAUCAAUAGCGUCAACGGUCCCAGACAAGUACGGUUUCUUUGGAGGAUCUCAGUUCAGUCAUGAUACUGAUGUAAACCCAGCGAUGGUUGCAAUUUUUCGCAAAAGAGAACAAAAGUGGUUAAACAUGCUAGAUGACUGGGAAAAGUAUAUGACCUACAAAUAUAAAAAGGUGAGAGACAGGUGCAGAAAAGGAAUACCCAGCUCGAUCCGUCCUAGAGCAUGGCAGUAUCUCUGCGGUGGUGGUGUCCUCAUGGAAAAGAACAAAGGUGUUUUCGACGAGCUCCUCACCCAGCCUGGAGAUCCCAAAUGGCUUGAUGAUAUACGCAAAGAUUUGCAUAGGCAGUUUCCUAUGCACGAGAUGUUUGCCGAUUCCAAUGGACCCGGCCAAGUGGAAUUAUUUCGGGUGCUAAAGGCUUACACCAUCUUGAACCCUGUAGAUGGUUACUUCCAAGGACAAGCCCCUGUUGCGGCUAUGCUCGUCAUGCAUAUGCCAGCUGAAGAGGCAUUUUGGUGCUUGGUGGCUAUCUGUGAGCGCUAUCUUCCUGGCUACUACAGCCAAGGACUGGAAGCAGUCCAAAUUGAUGGUGAUGUCCUUGUUGCCCUUCUAAGAAAAGUAUCACCGUCCGUCCAUCGCCAUUUGACGAAACAAAAAUUAGACCCCGUGCUUUUCAUGAUGGAAUGGUUCAUGUGUAUCUACACUCGCACGCUUCCUUGGUCCUCCGUGCUCCGCGUUUGGGACAUGUUCUUUUGUGAGGGGGUGAAAGUGCUCUUCCGGGUUGGACUGGUCAUCUUAAAGUACAGUUUUAUGAAACCCAAGACGAUGAAGGAAUGUCCGACAAUGUACGAAUCUAUGGAAGUAUUACGUAACCUCCAUCUCAGCGUCACUGAAGAAAACGUCCUCGUUGCUCGCAUGCUGAAACUGCCGAUCACUGAAGAUGACAUGGAAAGAGUACACAGGAAAGUAGUCGAAUUAAGGAAAAAAGCUGCUUCUUCUUCAACGCAAUGCAGUUAAUUGCUACGCCUUAUUCCCCCUCCUCGAAGAGACAGAUUAUAUAUGAGAGAAGAUCUUGGUUAUUUUUUUUUCUUUUUGUUAUUUACGACGUGGUUGGACCAUUCGAUUCCCCCUCCCUUCCAGCGAUGUGUUUCCAGUCGGUGCUUUAUAUUAAAAAAAUCCUAUGUCGAUAGAAAAAAAAACAAAAGAUUUUCACAUUUUGUUUUUAAAUUUAUAUAGAUAAGAUGUCAUAUAUUUGAUCUGUUCGUA